Molecule: long non-coding RNA, 2349 nt
Organism: Cavia porcellus (domestic guinea pig)
Lineage: Eukaryota; Metazoa; Chordata; Mammalia; Rodentia; Caviidae
Exons: 3
Source: RefSeq, a predicted model, not a curated record
UCGAAGGAUGUCCCUCUCUCCAGGCGAGGUUGUGCUGUGCUUCCUCUCAGCUCUGACUUCUCUGAGCAUCUAGCUCGGUCUGACUGCCUAUAACCGAAUGGCUGUAUCACUAUGUGCACGGGAUGUGUCUCACAUUUUAUGUCAUACUACGUAGAAAGAUUAAAUCAAAGGCUACCAAAGGCAUUAACAUUAGAUCCCAAACUACAAACUUUCAGAAAAUGUAGGUGUGCAUCUUCAUGACCUUGGAUUUAGCAAUGUGUUUUUUUAUGUUAUUUUAUUUUUUUGGAACCGAAAAUCGAAUUUAGGACCUCACACUUGCCAGGCCAGUGCUGUGCUGCUGAGUUAUAUCCCCAGGCCAGCAACGUGUGUUUUAAUGACACUGAGAGCACAAGCUACAAAGGAAAAAAAAAAAAACAGAUAAAUUAGAUUUUAUCUAAAUUGGAAAUUUGUCAGGAAACCAAGAGGGCAAGCCAGAGAAUGAGAGAAUCUACGGCCACAAAACAUAUGAAAGGGCGCCCUUACCCACAGUCAUGAGGGAAACACAAAUCAAAACCACAGUGAGAUAACACUUCGUGCCCAACCCAUAGUGAAGAACACAAUGUUUUAAAAAUUAGAUAACAAGGGUUAGCAAGGACUUGAAGAAAGAAUCCUCACAUGCUGCUGGCAGGAGUGUGGAACGUUAUGGCUGCUCAGGAAAACGAUCCAGAAUUUUCACCAAGACUGAUCAUGGGGUAGUUACCGGUUAGCCCAGGAAUUCCGCUUAGCAGCCUGGAGGCCCCUUGAUCGAUGAGCGGAUGAUCACAGUAUAGAUAGGAAAUUUGGAGACAACAGAGGUGGAUACUUGACCAAAAAAGUGAUGCAGUACGGGCACGUGCUACACCGUGGCUAAAUCUUGAAGACAUCAUGCUAAAUGACAGAAAGUGGUCACAGAAGACCACAUAUGACAUUACUUCAUUUUGCUGAGGCUGGAAGUCAAGGUCUUACAUAUGCUAAGCAAGUGCUCCACCCUAGAGCCACCUCCUCAGCCCUGAGCUUUACAUUUUAAAUGAAUGAUUGUAAGGAAUGAAAUUAUGUCUCACUCAAGUUACCUACCUUUCGACUAACCAGGUCAUGCCUUGUCUCUGCCAGGCACUUGCAAAGGUUUCCAUUUGGCUCUGAAGGGUACAUUUCAAAGUUAGAGAAGCCUGUGAGGCCCAGCAGCACCAGGCCUCCCUCCCCCAGCUGAUGUCAUGUGCUCUCAAGGUCCCCUAGAUCGGCCUGUUAACUGGGCUGGUUUGCUCCAUGUAACGCAGGGCUCAUUCCCGUCCCUUGGUCAGAUGCAAGGCUGAAGUGCAUGCUGGUGACACAGCCGGGGAAACACAACAGCACAGGGCCGGAGGACAGCACUGCCUCUCCAUGCUCCCCUGGGCCAUGGCAAGAGGGCCGGCAUUGGAUUAGCUGUUACGGGUACUUCCUCCGUCAAAGGCCCAAUGACAAGGAUGCAGCACAUGGUGUUGAAGUUAGUUCAGUGAUGGAGACGGUGACAUAGACAGCUGGAGGCUGAUGCUGCUUGCCCAGGAUUUCUCUGAGCAGGUGACCCUUGUGGGGAGCUAGAGAGGAAGCCAGGCUAACAUGCGCAGGGCGACCCAGUGGAGACACAGCAGCUAGAGAUGAGCUGCCCCCAUCCAGAGCCAGAAGCUCCCCAGAGACCACAGUACCCCUAGACUGCCUUCCUGUAGUGGCCCAGGCUCACCCCAUGUCCCACCAGAGCAGGACUCCCCGAAUUCAUCAUUGCUGCCAGCUUCCUAUGCCCCACCUUGGGGAAGUGAGGCCCUAAGAAUAUGUCCAUGUCAGCUGUGCACGCUCAGAUGUGCUGUGCACCCUUCACAGAUGCUCUCUUAAAGUGUUCUCCAGAGGUGGCCGCAUGACACUCACUCACCUCUGGAAGCUGCUGAGGCAGGAAUAACAUGGCUGUGUGGGAGUGCAGGCCUGAGCCAGGACGGGCACAGUGCAUGGAUCUGGACUCCUUUCUAUCUCGGCCAAGAGAGCAAACCUGUGGGAGAUCAAGAGUUGUCACCUGAUGGGGCACAGUGGCACUUGCCUCUAAUUUCAGCACACUGGGAGGCUGAGGCAGGAGGAUUUCAAGAUCCAGUGCAGCCUGGGCAACUUAGUGAUUUAGGAAGAUGCUGUUUCAAAAUUAAAUAUAAAAAGGGGCUGGGGAUGUAACUCAAUAUGAAGGCCACUGAGUUCAAACCCAAUCCCCCAAAAAAUAAAAGAUGAAAAAGAGUUUGCAUCGUUUAUGACUCUGGAAUUCCAGGGAUGACAGAAACCACAGAGCGGGCAUUGUGCUCUUGCCCUGUGCUCCGAUCC